Molecule: ribosomal RNA, 374 nt
Filed under: uncultured organism
Description: bacterial SSU rRNA
Rfam family: Bacterial small subunit ribosomal RNA
Source: RNAcentral
CGGGGGGAGCAAGCGUUGUUCGGAUUUACUGGGCGUAAAGGGCGCGUAGGCGGCCACCGCAAGUCGACUGUGAAAUCUCCGGGCUUAACCCGGAAAGGUCAGCCGAUACUGCGGGGCUAGAGUGCAGAAGGGGCAACUGGAAUUCUCGGUGUAGCGGUGAAAUGCGUAGAUAUCGAGAGGAACACCUGCGGCGAAGGCGGGUUGCUGGGCUGACACUGACGCUAGUGCGCGAAAGCUAGGGGAGCGAACGGGAUUAGAUACCCCGGUAGUCCUAGCCUUAAACGAUGAAUGCUUGGUGUCUGGGGUUUUAUAGUCCCCGGGUGCCGUCGCUAACGCUUUAGGCAUUCCGCCUGGGGAGUACGGUCGCAAGACUG